GACGAACGCUGGCGGCGUGCUUAACACAUGCAAGUCGAACGGUAAGGCUCCAGCUUGCUGGGGUACACGAGUGGCGAACGGGUGAGUAACACGUGGGUGACCUGCCCUGCACUUCGGGAUAAGCCUGGGAAACUGGGUCUAAUACCGGAUAGGACCGCACCGUGAGGGUGUGGUGGAAAGUUUUUUCGGUGUGGGAUGGGCCCGCGGCCUAUCAGCUUGUUGGUGGGGUAAUGGCCUACCAAGGCGGCGACGGGUAGCCGGCCUGAGAGGGUGGACGGCCACAUUGGGACUGAGACACGGCCCAGACUCCUACGGGAGGCAGCAGUGGGGAAUAUUGCACAAUGGGCGGAAGCCUGAUGCAGCGACGCCGCGUGGGGGAUGACGGCCUUCGGGUUGUAAACUCCUUUCACCAUCGACGAAGGGUUUCUGACGGUAGAUGGAGAAGAAGCACCGGCUAACUACGUGCCAGCAGCCGCGGUAAUACGUAGGGUGCGAGCGUUGUCCGGAAUUACUGGGCGUAAAGAGCUCGUAGGUGGUUUGUCGCGUCGUCUGUGAAAUUCCGGGGCUUAACUCCGGGCGUGCAGGGCGAUACGGGCAUAACUUGAGUACUGUAGGGGAGACUGGAAUUCCUGGUGUAGCGGUGAAAUGCGCAGAUAUCAGGAGGAACACCGGUGGCGAAGGCGGGUCUCUGGGCAGUAACUGACGCUGAGGAGCGAAAGCAUGGGGAGCGAACAGGAUUAGAUACCCUGGUAGUCCAUGCCGUAAACGGUGGGCGCUAGGUGUGGGUUUCCUUCCACGGGAUCCGUGCCGUAGCUAACGCAUUAAGCGCCCCGCCUGGGGAGUACGGCCGCAAGGCUAAAACUCAAAGGAAUUGACGGGGGCCCGCACAAGCGGCGGAGCAUGUGGAUUAAUUCGAUGCAACGCGAAGAACCUUACCUGGGCUUGACAUAUACAGGAUCGCGCCAGAGAUGGUGUUUCCCUUGUGGCUUGUAUACAGGUGGUGCAUGGUUGUCGUCAGCUCGUGUCGUGAGAUGUUGGGUUAAGUCCCGCAACGAGCGCAACCCUUGUCUUAUGUUGCCUGCACGUUGUGGUGGGGACUCGUAAGAAACUGCCGGGGUUAACUCGGAGGAAGGUGGGGAUGACGUCAAAUCAUCAUGCCCCUUAUGUCCAGGGCUUCACACAUGCUACAAUGGUCGGUACAGUGGGUUGCCAGUCCGUGAGGGCGAGCUAAUCCCGCAAAGCCGGUCUCAGUUCGGAUCGGGGUCUGCAACUCGACCCCGUGAAGUCGGAGUCGCUAGUAAUCGCAGAUCAGCAACGCUGCGGUGAAUACGUUCCCGGGCCU
Molecule: ribosomal RNA, 1342 nt
Filed under: uncultured bacterium
Lineage: Bacteria
Description: 16S ribosomal RNA
Rfam family: Bacterial small subunit ribosomal RNA
Source: RNAcentral